CCAUUGACCCUUCCAAGAGCCCUAUCCUUCCCAACUCUCCAUCCUUCUCCUUCUCACCUCUCCCAACCCUUCCUCAUCACCCUCCUGUCCUCUUCCAGCCCCCCAUACGCCACUUGGACCAGGGCCUGCGGUGGCAGCUGGCAAGAGCGCCGUCCCUGGGGACAAUGUAGAGCCAGGAGCUGAGCCCCGAGAGGAAGAGGAGCGUGGGGACUUUGCCGAUGCUGAUGACUUGGCCUACACUGAUGACCUGCAUGAUGAGAACUACCACCCAUCCCUGGACAGUGACUCAGAGCCACAGCGACACCAGGGCCAACCCAAGGCCCACAAGAAACCAAUCAAGGAGGAGCCGCCCCUGCUCAAGCCGCCCCUGCCCAGCUCUGGCCCCUUGGAGGAGAAGAGCGGACGGGUCAGCUCCAGAACCACCCUGGAUAUGGCUGGAAGAGGGAUCACCCUUCCGGGAGACCCAAUCUCAGCGAAGCAAAUCGAAAACAGGAGAUAAAUCCUGGCUCAAGAGAAAAGCAGGAUCUUCCAGAUGUCAAAGGGUUCCUCCUCUUCUCCCUUCCCCAGGUAAAGCUACCCUGAGCUGUUUUCAAGGGGUUUGGGACAAGCCCCAGGCUGAAUCCAUGCUUGAGCAUUGGCAUCUCUUACCAUCCCAUUAUUUCUCCUCCCCAAACCCCACUUUAACCCACUUUUAAUGGCUCUUUCCUUAAUUCCAGGGUGACAGCUAAGAAUAGCUGCUGUUUCCGGGGAGCUAUGGAUGAAUUAUAGAUCAAACCUGGCUGGGAGCCAAUUUCAGUGUCCUGAGACGCAUCCAAACCAUGUGAAAAGGGUUUUGUAACAAGCAAUAAAGAAUUUAUUCUUACUUUAACGCCUGAACGA
RNAcentral lists this long non-coding RNA (879 nucleotides) under Cyanistes caeruleus (blue tit). RNAcentral's name for it is "lncRNA (ENSCCEG00000005989.1)". Lineage: Eukaryota; Metazoa; Chordata; Aves; Passeriformes; Paridae. The record is from RNAcentral.